This 279-nucleotide ribosomal RNA is filed under the name uncultured bacterium. RNAcentral describes it as "partial 16S ribosomal RNA". It matches the Rfam family "Bacterial small subunit ribosomal RNA", at positions 506 to 784 of the family's 1533-position model. The record is from RNAcentral.
UGCCAGCCGCCGCGGUAAUACGUACCGGACAAGCGUUAUUCGGAUUUACUGGGCUUAAAGAGUGCGUAGGCGGCCUAACAGGUGGGGUGUGAAAGCCCACGGCUCAACCGUGGAAUUGCGCUCCAAACCGCUAGGCUUGAGGGAGACAGGGGUGAGCGGAACUGAUGGUGGAGCGGUGAAAUGCGUUGAUAUCGUCAGGAACACCAGUGGCGAAGGCGGCUCACUGGCUCGAUACUGACGCUGAGGUACGAAAGUGUGGGGAGCAAACAGGAUUAGAUA